CCUACGGGGUGCAGCAGUGGGGAAUAUUGGACAAUGGGCGAAAGCCUGAUCCAGCCAUGCCGCGUGUGUGAAGAAGGCCUUCGGGUUGUAAAGCACUUUCAGUGGGGAAGAAAGCCUUGGGGCUAAUACCCUCGAGGAAGGACAUCACCCACAGAAGAAGCACCGGCUAACUCCGUGCCAGCAGCCGCGAUAAUACGGAGGGUGCGAGCGUUAAUCGGAAUUACUGGGCGUAAAGCGCGCGUAGGCGGUCUGAUAAGCCGGUUGUGAAAGCCCCGGGCUCAACCUGGGAACGGCAUCCGGAACUGUCAGGCUAGAGUGCAGGAGAGGAAGGUAGAAUUCCCGGUGUAGCGGUGAAAUGCGUAGAGAUCGGGAGGAAUACCAGUGGCGAAGGCGGCCUUCUGGACUGACACUGACGCUGAGGUGCGAAAGCGUGGGUAGCAAACAGGAUUAGAUACCCUUGUAGUC
RNAcentral lists this ribosomal RNA (465 nucleotides) under Vreelandella stevensii. RNAcentral's name for it is "partial 16S ribosomal RNA". It matches the Rfam family "Bacterial small subunit ribosomal RNA", at positions 338 to 795 of the family's 1533-position model. Lineage: Bacteria; Pseudomonadati; Pseudomonadota; Gammaproteobacteria; Oceanospirillales; Halomonadaceae. The record is from RNAcentral.